RNAcentral lists this ribosomal RNA (244 nucleotides) under uncultured Rhodoferax sp. RNAcentral describes it as "partial 16S ribosomal RNA". It matches the Rfam family "Bacterial small subunit ribosomal RNA", at positions 1137 to 1382 of the family's 1533-position model. The record is from RNAcentral. Lineage: Bacteria; Pseudomonadati; Pseudomonadota; Betaproteobacteria; Burkholderiales; Comamonadaceae.
ACUCUAAUGAGACUGCCGGUGACAAGCCGGAGGAAGUGGGGAUGACGUCAAGUCCUCAUGGCCCUUAUAGUGGGGCUACACACGUCAUACAAUGGCUGGUCAAAGGGUUGCCAACCCGCGAGGGGGAGCCAAUCCCAUAAAGCCAGUCGUAGUCCGGAUCGUAGUCUGCAACUCGACUACGUGAAGUCGGAAUCGCUAGUAAUCGUGGAUCAGAAUGUCACGGUGAAUACGUUCCCGGGUCCUU